Molecule: ribosomal RNA, 423 nt
Filed under: uncultured bacterium
Lineage: Bacteria
Description: bacterial SSU rRNA
Rfam family: Bacterial small subunit ribosomal RNA
Source: RNAcentral
GGAAUAUUGGACAAUGGGCGCAAGCCUGAUCCAGCAAUGCCGCGUGUGUGAAGAAGGCCUUCGGGUUGUAAAGCACUUUUGUACGGGAAGAAAUCCCAUUGCCUAAUACGUGCUGGGGAUGACGGUACCGUAAGAAUAAGCACCGGCUAACUUCGUGCCAGCGGCCGCGGUAAUACGAAGGGUGCAAGCGUUAAUCGGAAUUACUGGGCGUAAAGCGUGCGUAGGCGGGUUGUUAAGUCCGAUGUGAAAGCCCUGGGCUCAACCUGGGAAUGGCAUGGGAUACUGGCGAGCUAGAGUGCGGUAGAGGGGUGCGGAAUUCCCGGUGUAGCGGUGAAAUGCGUAGAGAUCGGGAGGAACAUCCGUGGCGAAGGCGGCACCCUGGACCAGCACUGACGCUCAUGCACGAAAGCGUGGGGAGCAAAC